GAUGAACGCUGGCGGCGUGCCUAACACAUGCAAGUCGAACGGACUCAUAUUGAAACCUAGUGAUUUAUGAGUUAGUGGCGGACGGGUGAGUAACGCGUGGAAAACCUGCCGUAUACCGGGGGAUAACACUUAGAAAUAGGUGCUAAUACCGCAUAAGCGCACAGCUUCGCAUGAAGCAGUGUGAAAAACUCCGGUGGUAUACGAUGGUUCCGCGUCUGAUUAGCUAGUUGGCGGGGUAACGGCCCACCAAGGCAGCGAUCAGUAGCCGGCCUGAGAGGAAGGUCCCCCACAUUGGAACUGAGACACGGUCCAA
This 313-nucleotide ribosomal RNA is filed under the name uncultured bacterium. RNAcentral describes it as "bacterial SSU rRNA". It matches the Rfam family "Bacterial small subunit ribosomal RNA", at positions 28 to 334 of the family's 1533-position model. The record is from RNAcentral.